Salmo salar (Atlantic salmon) is the source of this 54-nucleotide non-coding RNA. Lineage: Eukaryota; Metazoa; Chordata; Actinopteri; Salmoniformes; Salmonidae. The record is from Rfam.
UGCAUUAACUACUGUAAGUCGCUCUGGAUAAGAGCAUCUGCUAAAUGACUAAAA